GGGGUUGUAGCUCAGUUGGGAGAGCGUUAGACUGAAGAUCUAAAGGUCCCUGGUUCGAUCCCGGGUUUCUUCG
RNAcentral lists this transfer RNA (73 nucleotides) under Neotoma lepida (desert woodrat). It matches the Rfam family "tRNA". From Rfam's summary of the family: Transfer RNA (tRNA) molecules are approximately 80 nucleotides in length. Their secondary structure includes four short double-helical elements and three loops (D, anti-codon, and T loops). Lineage: Eukaryota; Metazoa; Chordata; Mammalia; Rodentia; Cricetidae. The record is from Rfam by way of RNAcentral.